AUGGAAAUUCCCCGAAAACUGGGAAAUCCCGAAGACAUAAAAAGAGCGAUCGCUUGUCGUGCAGGUAGCAGCACUUUGCCAGAGUCUUUAGUGGAGCUCAGCAUGCAGACAUCUCAUAGGAAUGAUCCGGCCCACGGGCUGAGACAGGUGCAAAGCGAGUCCUUCUUCUGGGAGGAGACAGAACAAGAGCAGCUGCAAUCAAGCUCUGGAACUCGCGCAAGAUGUAUGUCCUGUUUCUCUGGGAUCUACGAGAAGCUUAAAUGUCGUUUCUUCACACGCAGAAACCAGACUGAAACAGCUGAAACUGAGGAUCUUUCAACUCCCGUUCAAGAGACUGAGCCGGUACAAUUCCAGAGCUCUGUUCGUCCUUGGUUUGAUUUGUGAACAACACACUAGAUUGUUUAUAUUUAUUUUUUUAUACUUCAGUUGUAUAUAUUUUAAUUCGGUGCUACAUUUUAUGCUGCUUUCCAGAAAAUCCUGAUGACUGAGCCUGCUUUCCAAAAUUAUUGAAGGAUUUCAACUACUGUUCACUUAACACUCCUUACACACCCCCUGCAGAAAAUGAUUUUGAUUAUAACUUGAUAUCAUAAAAUGAUAUCUUAUCAUAUAUAUUUUUAAACCAAUUUUAUGUGUAUCUAUUUGUGUCAGCCAUAACAAGCACAGGAUCCAAAAUCUUUAUCUUUCUUAUUAGAAAAUGCACAGAUUCAGAAAUAAGGUUUAUAAGGUCAGUUACAGGGAACGAUAAGCUGAACUGAUUAAGACACCCAGGGAACUGAUGUUUACAGUAUUUCUCAAGAAUAUUUAUUUCGGAGAGUUUGUACAAAAUACACAGAGAAACUGAAAAAAUAAUUAUAGUGUACAUUGCACGUUAUUGUUAUUAAUAACAAUACUCUCCUGUUUCUUCUGAAGGAUAUAAUGCUAUUGUGUAAAUAAAAUAAAUUAUCCUGAUAUUAAAAUUAUCCAAAAAUAAAGUGCAAAACAAUUCAACAGAAAGGAAGAAUAGAGUGAGCAUCAAUCAAGUCAGUAUCUCAAAUAAUUCCUUUUAUUUGCAGUGGGAGCUUAUGACUAGCUUAUGUAAUUAAAUUAAAUAUGCCUUUGCCCCCAAUUUAAGCAUUUUAAACUACAAACAAAAUAUAAAACAUAAAAUGCUUGCCAUAUGAGACAGGCAUGACCAACCUUUCUUUUUGCAGUCUAUCAAAAGCUUCCAAAUGUUUGAUUUAGAGUUUUAAACCUACCCCUGUUAAAGUAUUUUAGAUUUAAAAAUGAUUUGUUAAGUUGUGCAAUAAUUUAGAACUUUGAAAAGCACUGUGGGCUCUGCUAGAGUUCAUAUAUUUUGACAUUGUUCUAAUGAGACAAACUGAAUGUGUCAUGAAAACAGGAGAUGUUGUUCUGUAUCAUGCACUAUAAUGGUUUCACUGUGGCAUUAUCAGAUAUAGUCUACGUUGUUAUGCAGGUGAACAAGUAAAGGUUUAUUCUAUGCUGAAUAGAGAAGAAAAGAAACACGUUUCAGCUGUGGAGCCUUCUUCAGGUGUGACAUUCAAAAGAAUGUCUUCGGGCUCCACAGCUGAAACGUUAUGUUUCUUUUCUUCUCUUUUCAGCAUGAAUUAACCUUUACUUGUUCCUUUGCAGUCAGCUACCUACUUGAAUUGUCAUGCAUAUGGUUAUAUGCUAACAUUUUUGCACUUUUAUUUUCUAAAAUGGUAAAUACUCAGUUCACCAUUGAGAAAUUAUGGAAAUUAUUCUGUUACAUGUAAAGUAUUAACAUUCUAAGUAAGAAAACACAGCCAUGUCCCUUGUCGAUUCAUUUUUACUAAAAGAAUGUCUAAAAGAUUGCUGCUGUUGUGCAAUUUCAAUUUUUAAUACUAAAUGAAUGUUUUCUACAUCAGUAAAAAUGCAGCUAUUUAAAAUGCAAAUAAAACAUUGUAUGUUUCAUUGUUAAUUCCUGUGGUUUUUCCUUAGUCUGCUUUUUGUGAGUGUUCAGUUGCACUUUCUAACUCUGCAUUGAAGAGGUAGUCUAGGAGGGAGUAACACCUACACAUUUGGAAAUAGAGCAAGAGUGAGCCUUUGACAUACAUGGCUGCUCUGCAGAUC
Long non-coding RNA from Lepisosteus oculatus (spotted gar), 2091 nucleotides. The record is from Ensembl. NCBI's taxonomy places the organism in Eukaryota, Metazoa, Chordata, Actinopteri, Semionotiformes, Lepisosteidae.